Molecule: non-coding RNA, 272 nt
Organism: Pelobates cultripes (western spadefoot toad)
Lineage: Eukaryota; Metazoa; Chordata; Amphibia; Anura; Pelobatidae
Source: the annotation of a GenBank genome assembly
CUGGUAUUCAUUCACUAAUCCUGUCGGUUUCUGUUGACCAUAUUCAAACACUAGGUCACACAAUUGUAUAAUGAAAUGUGUUGGUAAAGUGUGUCAGUGACAAGACACAGGAGAAAUUAUAAAGUAUUAGUCAGGUUAGAAAUUCACAGACUGAUUGCUGCUGGAGCUAAUAAUAUAACGACAAUCAAUUUGACUGCCCAGUUUAUUGCCAUCUGUGCUGUGAAAAAUGUUGGCCCUAUAUAAAUGCUAGUUAUAAUAAUAAUCUGCUCUAC